Dermochelys coriacea (leatherback sea turtle) is the source of this 164-nucleotide long non-coding RNA. RefSeq lists it as uncharacterized. The transcript is spliced from 3 exons. The record is from RefSeq and is a predicted model, not a curated record. Lineage: Eukaryota; Metazoa; Chordata; Testudines; Dermochelyidae.
GAGUAUAGGUUCUACAACAGUGGUUAUCAGUCAGGGAUACACAUACCCCAGGGGGACGCAGAGGUCUUCCAGGAGGUACAUCAACUCAUCUAGAUAUUUGUCGAGUUUUAUAACAGGCUACAUAAAAAGCACUAGCGAAGUCAGUACAAACUAAAAUUUAAUAA